Molecule: ribosomal RNA, 489 nt
Filed under: uncultured bacterium
Lineage: Bacteria
Description: partial 16S ribosomal RNA
Rfam family: Bacterial small subunit ribosomal RNA
Source: RNAcentral
AGUGAACGCUGGCGGUAGGCCUAACACAUGCAAGUCGAACGGCAGCACAGGAGAGCUUGCUCUCUGGGUGGCGAGUGGCGGACGGGUGAGGAAUACAUCGGAAUCUGCCCAGUCGUGGGGGAUAACGUAGGGAAACUUACGCUAAUACCGCAUACGACCUUCGGGUGAAAGAGGGGGAUCGCAAGACCUCUCGCGAUUGGAUGAGCCGAUGUCGGAUUAGCUAGUUGGCGGGGUAAUGGCCCACCAAGGCGACGAUCCGUAGCUGGUCUGAGAGGAUGAUCAGCCACACUGGAACUGAGACACGGUCCAGACUCCUACGGGAGGCAGCAGUGGGGAAUAUUGGACAAUGGGCGCAAGCCUGAUCCAGCCAUACCGCGUGGGUGAAGAAGGCCUUCGGGUUGUAAAGCCCUUUUGUUGGGAAAGAAAUCUUUCAGGCUAAGACCCUGGGAGGAUGACGGUACCCAAAGAAUAAGCACCGGCGAACUUCGU